UGGGGUCAUGGGCGAGAGCCUGAACCAGCCAAGUAGCGUGAAGGAUGACUGCCCUAUGGGUUGUAAACUUCUUUUAUAAAGGAAUAAAGUCGGGUAUGGAUACCCGUUUGCAUGUACUUUAUGAAUAAGGAUCGGCUAACUCCGUGCCAGCAGCCGCGGUAAUACGGAGGAUCCGAGCGUUAUCCGGAUUUAUUGGGUUUAAAGGGAGCGUAGAUGGAUGUUUAAGUCAGUUGUGAAAGUUUGCGGCUCAACCGUAAAAUUGCAGUUGAUACUGGAUAUCUUGAGUGCAGUUGAGGCAGGCGGAAUUCGUGGUGUAGCGGUGAAAUGCUUAGAUAUCACGAAGAACUCCGAUUGCGAAGGCAGCCUGCUAAGCUGCAACUGACAUUGAGGCUCGAAAGUGUGGGUAUCAAACAGGAUUAGAUACCCUGGUAGUCCACACGGUAAACGAUGAAUACUCGCUGUUUGCGAUAUACAGCAAGCGGCCAAGCGAAAGCGUUAAGUAUUCCACCUGGGGAGUACGCCGGCAACGGUGAAACUCAAAGGAAUUGACGGGGGCCCGCACAAGCGGAGGAACAUGUGGUUUAAUUCGAUGAUACGCGAGGAACCUUACCCGGGCUUAAAUUGCAGAUGAAUUACGGUGAAAGCCGUAAGCCGCAAGGCAUCUGUGAAGGUGCUGCAUGGUUGUCGUCAGCUCGUGCCGUGAGGUGUCGGCUUAAGUGCCAUAACGAGCGCAACCCUUGUUGUCAGUUACUAACAGGUUCCGCUGAGGACUCUGACAAGACUGCCAUCGUAAGAUGUGAGGAAGGUGGGGAUGACGUCAAAUCAGCACGGCCCUUACGUCCGGGGCUACACACGUGUUACAAUGGGGGGUACAGAGGGCCGCUACCACGCGAGUGGAUGCCAAUCCCAAAAACCUCUCUCAGUUCGGACUGGAGUCUGCAACCCGACUCCACGAAGCUGGAUUCGCUAGUAAUCGCGCAUCAGCCACGGCGCGGUGAAUACGUUCCCGGGCCUUGCACACACCGCCCGU
Molecule: ribosomal RNA, 1030 nt
Filed under: uncultured bacterium
Lineage: Bacteria
Description: bacterial SSU rRNA
Rfam family: Bacterial small subunit ribosomal RNA
Source: RNAcentral